UCCGGCUUGUCACCGGCAGUUUCAUUAAAGUGCCCAGCCCAACCUGAUGGCAACUAAUGAUGAGGGUUGCGCUCGUUGCGGGACUUAACCCAACAUCUCACGACACGAGCUGACGACAGCCAUGCAGCACCUGUGUGGGACCCGGCCGAACCGACGGUAAUCAUCUCUGAUCACCCUAAUCCCCAUGUCAAGAGCUGGUAAGGUUCUUCGCGUUGCUUCGAAUUAAACCACAUACUCCACCGCUUGUUCGAGCCCCCGUCAAUUCCUUUGAGUUUUAAUCUUGCGACCGUACUCCCCAGGCGGAGUGCUUAAUGCGUUAACGCCGACACUGAUAAAUUCCUCCACCAACAUCUAGCACUCAUCGUUUACAGCGUGGACUAC
This 381-nucleotide unclassified non-coding RNA is filed under the name uncultured Alphaproteobacteria bacterium. Its description in RNAcentral is "contains 16S-23S intergenic spacer region". The record is from RNAcentral. Lineage: Bacteria; Pseudomonadati; Pseudomonadota; Alphaproteobacteria.